CCGACCUCCUCGAACUCUACCUCCCCGCCGACCCCUUCUUCGCCCCGCCCCCCAUCCCCUCCCCGCACGCCUUCCUCCUGCACGACCUCACCGACCGCGCCGCAUGUACACCUACGCGGCCACGGAGCCCGGCGGCCGGAAGGUCAAGUGGACGGCGGAGGAGAAGCCGCGCGGCGGGGGCCGGGCGCUCAAGUGGGAGGCGGAGCUCGCCUCCCCGAACGCCGGCCAGGUCUUGCUGCAGGGUAGUGAAGGAUUGACGAGCCAAAUAGAAGGGGCAGUGAGAAAUUGAAGGACCAUGAGCAAUGCUGAGACUUGCUGGUUUAUUAGGUAUGACCAUGAGCAAUGUUGAGAUUUGACGCAAUUCACUCGUUAAACAUACCUAGCACAUUCAAAGUGAUUCAUUGAUUCCUCUUUACUAUGUCAUCGUCACCUAAUAGAAGAUUUUUAUGUAUGCCUAGCACAUUCAAAGUGAUUUUAUUUUUAUUCGAAUUUUAGGAUUGGUUUCAUGUAUUAACUCUUGAUCGGCAAUUUCCAAAAUUUAGUUAAUUAUGGACUCUUUUAGAUAUUUUUACUUGACUCUUUUAGAUUUUGCAGGAAAGAAGAAUGUCAAAUUACCUACUAAUUUUGAUUCUUCAUAUCCAUAUCUGCAGAGAUGCGAAGUAUUUGUUCAGAAAAUAAGAUGGUGCAUAUAUAAAGGUUAGUCUGCAUUUAGUGAUUUAGGGGCAUUGUAUCACUGCACAAAAUAGUUUUUGAUAUUGUUUCAUUAUUAAUUCUGAUUUUCUAUAAAUCAAACCAACAAUUUUAUAUAAAGUGAUUGCAAGUUUUGUUAUUGAUUUCAUACAAAAAACAAACUUGCUAUUGUCUUUUAGUUUAUCAUUUCAUUUAGUUUCAGGGCAACCAUCUCAUUUGCCAUUCACUUUCU
Triticum dicoccoides is the source of this 922-nucleotide long non-coding RNA. RefSeq lists it as uncharacterized. The transcript is spliced from 3 exons. The record is from RefSeq and is a predicted model, not a curated record. Lineage: Eukaryota; Viridiplantae; Streptophyta; Magnoliopsida; Poales; Poaceae.